UACGUAGGUGACAAGCGUUGUCCGGAUUUACUGGGCGUAAAGAGCGCGCAGGCGGUCGAUCAAGUCGAGUGUGAAAGCCCCCCGGCUCAACUGGGGAGGGUCAUUCGAUACUGAUCGACUCGAAGGCAGGAGAGGGUAGUGGAAUUCCCGGUGUAGUGGUGAAAUGCGUAGAUAUCGGGAGGAACACCAGUGGCGAAGGCGACUACCUGGCCUGUUCUUGACGCUGAGGCGCGAAAGCUAGGGGAGCAAACAGG
RNAcentral lists this ribosomal RNA (254 nucleotides) under uncultured bacterium. Its description in RNAcentral is "partial 16S ribosomal RNA". It matches the Rfam family "Bacterial small subunit ribosomal RNA", at positions 524 to 776 of the family's 1533-position model. The record is from RNAcentral.